AACGAACGCUGGCGGCAUGCCUAACACAUGCAAGUCGAACGAGACCUUCGGGUCUAGUGGCGCACGUGUGCGUAACGCGUGGGAACCUGCCCUUAGGUUCGGAAUAACUCCCCGAAAGGGGUGCUAAUACCGGAUAAUGUCUUUGGACCAAAGAUUUAUCGCCUUUUGAUGGGCCCGCGUUGGAUUAGCUAGUUGGUAGGGUAAAAGCCUACCAAGGCGACGAUCCAUAGCUGGUCUGAGAGGAUGAUCAGCCACACUGGGACUGAGACACGGCCCAGACUCCUACGGGAGGGAGCAGUGGGGAAUAUUGGACAAUGGGCGAAAGCGUGAUCCAGCAAUGCCGCGUGAGUGAUGAAGGCCUUAGGGUUGUAAAGCUCUUUUACCCGGGAUGAUAAUGACAGUACCGGGAGAAUAAGCUCCGGCUAACUCCGUG
This 433-nucleotide ribosomal RNA is filed under the name uncultured bacterium. RNAcentral's name for it is "partial 16S ribosomal RNA". It matches the Rfam family "Bacterial small subunit ribosomal RNA", at positions 29 to 507 of the family's 1533-position model. The record is from RNAcentral.